AUGUUUUUGUUUGUUGUUGUUGUUGUUGGUUUGUUUGUUGUCGGAUGUGCACGAGACACACCACACAGCAAACAAGUGUUGUUGUUUUGUGGGUGUGACGAGAGACGGCAAUGACAUGACAGCAAGAUGUGAUGUGAUGUGAUGUGAACCCACACCACACCACACACACCGCUGCCAUCCCACAUCGCCCAGCCACACCCGCCCCGCACCCAUACGCCGUGCCACAGCACAUUGUUCUGCUUUGAUUGGAUUUUGUUAAUGAUCCUUCCGCAGGUUCACCUACGGAAA
RNAcentral lists this unclassified non-coding RNA (288 nucleotides) under uncultured fungus. RNAcentral's name for it is "sequence contains ITS1". The record is from RNAcentral. Lineage: Eukaryota; Fungi.